GAACGCUGGCGGCAGGCCUAACACAUGCAAGUCGAACGAACCUUUCGGGGUUAGUGGCGGACGGGUGAGUAACACGUGGGAACGUGCCUUUAGGUUCGGAAUAACUCAGGGAAACUUGUGCUAAUACCGAAUGUGCCCUUCGGGGGAAAGAUUAAUCGCCUUUAGAGCGGCCCGCGUCUGAUUAGCUAGUUGGUUGAGGUAAUGGCUCACCAAGGCGACGAUCAGUAGCUGGUCUGAGAGGAUGAUCAGCCACAUUGGGACUGAGACACGGCCCAAACUCCUACGGGAGGCAGCAGUGGGGAAUCUUGCGCAAUGGGCGAAAGCCUGACGCAGCCAUGCCGCGUGAAUGAUGAAGGUCUUAGGAUUGUAAAAUUCUUUCACCGGGGACGAUAAUGACGGUACCCGGAGAAGAAGCCCCGGCUAACUUCGUG
Molecule: ribosomal RNA, 431 nt
Filed under: uncultured bacterium
Lineage: Bacteria
Description: partial 16S ribosomal RNA
Rfam family: Bacterial small subunit ribosomal RNA
Source: RNAcentral